RNAcentral lists this ribosomal RNA (441 nucleotides) under uncultured bacterium. RNAcentral's name for it is "partial 16S ribosomal RNA". It matches the Rfam family "Bacterial small subunit ribosomal RNA", at positions 338 to 795 of the family's 1533-position model. The record is from RNAcentral.
CCUACGGGUGGCUGCAGUGGGGAAUAUUGCACAAUGGGGGAAACCCUGAUGCAGCAACGCCGCGUGAGUGAAGAAGGUUUUCGGAUUGUAAAGCUCUGUUAGCAGGGGAGAGGAAGGACGGUACCUGCAGAGGAAGCCACGGCUAACUACGUGCCAACAGCCGCGGUAAUACGUAGGUGGCAAGCGUUAUCCGGAAUGACUGGGCGUAAAGGGUGCGUAGGUGGUUUAGUAAGUUGGCGGUGUAAUUCCGGGGCUCAACCUCGGCGCUACCGCCAAAACUAUCAGACUAGAGUGCAGGAGGGGUAAGUGGAAUUCGCAGUGUAGCGGUGGAAUGCGUAGAUAUCAGGAGGAACAUCAGGGGCGAAGGCGACUUACUGGACUGUAACUGACACUGAGGCACGAAAGCGUGGGGAGCAAACAGGAUUAGAUACCCGGGUAGUC